This 497-nucleotide ribosomal RNA is filed under the name uncultured bacterium. Its description in RNAcentral is "partial 16S ribosomal RNA". It matches the Rfam family "Bacterial small subunit ribosomal RNA", at positions 28 to 507 of the family's 1533-position model. The record is from RNAcentral.
GAUGAACGCUGGCGGUGUGCCUAAUACAUGCAAGUCGAGCGAACGGACGAGAAGCUUGCUUCUCUGAUGUUAGCGGCGGACGGGUGUGUAACACGUGGAUAACCUACCUAUCAGACUGGGAUAACUUCGGGAAACCGGCGCUAACACCGGAUAAUAUUUUGAACCGCAUGGUUCAAAAGUGAAAGACGGUCUUGCUGUCACUUAUAGAUGGAUCCGGGCUGCUUUAGCUAGUUGGUAAGGUCACGGCUUACCAAGGCAACUAUGCAUAGCCGACCGGAGAGGCGGAUAGGCCGCCCUGGAGCGGAGACACGGUCCAGACUCCUACGGGAGGCAGCAGUAGGGAAUCUUACGCAAUGGGCGAAAGCCUGACGGAGCAACGCCGCGUGAGUGAUGAAGGUCUUCGGAGCGUAAAACUCUGUUAUUAGGGAAGAACAUAUGUGUAAGUAACUGUGCCCAUCUUGACGGUACCUAAUCAGAAAGCCACGGCUAACUACGUG